RNAcentral lists this long non-coding RNA (1013 nucleotides) under Dromaius novaehollandiae (emu). Its description in RNAcentral is "lncRNA (ENSDNVG00000007512.1)". The record is from RNAcentral. Lineage: Eukaryota; Metazoa; Chordata; Aves; Casuariiformes; Dromaiidae.
ACGGCCGCCGCUGCCCGUGGCAUCUCCKCAGGCCGCGGGGGAGCGCGAGGCGGCCACUCCCCGCGAAGCAGCGGUUGCGACUUCUCGCUUGGCCUCUUCCCCUCGGCUUGGCCGGGCCGCCUGGGACGCGAGCGGCGCCGAUGAAUAACGCGCUGGCAACUGGAGAAGAAAAACCAGCAGCCGGAUCUCCCCUGGUUUCCUCCGCAGGACGUCCCGCGCUCGCGGGCGCCUCGGCCCACGGGCUGGAGCCGCGGCUCUGGGGAUCGCUCGGAGCGGAGCCGGCUGGGCGUCCGGCGACACACACACUGGCUUUCGCCCGUCGGUGCAGUCGCGGCGCGCGGGCUCUCCGAGGUACCGAGGCACCUGUUUGACCAGGCACUGAAGAUCCCCCACCCCAUGGGAGCCUCAAGGCUGCAGUGCCGGYGCGAAGGGGUGGCAGCCGUCGCAGCAGAGCAGCGCGCUCGUGGCCCGGCCGGAGGAGCCGCUGGUUUUGAGGUGACCCGGGGCUGGGACACGACGGGAGGUUGCUUUAUUUUUUUCCUGAAUUCAGUAAAGGUUGCUAUGUGUCACGUCGUGGCGUUCCUUCCCUGAACAGGAGGGCGAUUUUCCAGGACUGUGCAGAGGAGAUAGCGAAGAGGAAAUGCAGGGGAAGCUCGGUCUCCUUGCGGUGGGUCAGUGUGGAGUUUGGGGGAAAAGGUGCUGAAAGGCCGGUGUCCCGACUUGGACAAAAUCGAAAUUGCGGUGCGUCGUCCGUGGGGUGCGGUGGUUCCCGUGGUGGGACACGUGUGCUUCUGGUGAUGGAGAAGAACAGCAGACGGUUGGACUUUUCAGUUCCGUGCUUUUAUUUCUCUGCACCGAGUGAGCUUUGUGUAAGCCCAGGUUAUACGACAGGCAAGCGCGGAGUUGUAGCUAUGGUUGUAUAGGGCUUUAUGUGGUCCUGUAGCAUUUACGUGAGGCUGACUCUGACGGCGACUGUAGCCUACCGAUGAGUUGAGGGUUUAUGACUGGAAAAC